AUUGAACGCUGGCGGCAGGCCUAACACAUGCAAGUCGAACGGCAGCACAGAAGAGCUUGCUCUUUGGGUGGCGAGUGGCGGACGGGUGAGUAACACGUAGGAAUCUACCCCAGUAGUGGGGGAUAACCUGGGGAAACCCAGGCUAAUACCGCAUACGCCCUGAGGGGGAAAGCGGGGGAUCUUCGGACCCCGCGCUAUUGGAUGAGCCUGCGUCGGAUUAGCUAGUUGGUGGGGUAAGGGCCCACCAAGGCGACGAUCCGUAGCUGGUCUGAGAGGAUGACCAGUCACACCGGAACUGAGACACGGUCCGGACUCCUACGGGAGGCAGCAGUGGGGAAUCUUAGACAAUGGGCGCAAGCCUGAUCUAGCCAUGCCGCGUGAUCGAUGAAGGCCUUAGGGUUGUAAAGAUACUUUCAGAUGGGAAGAUAAUGACGGUACCAUCAGAAGAAGCCCCGGCUAACUCCGUG
This 467-nucleotide ribosomal RNA is filed under the name uncultured bacterium. RNAcentral's name for it is "bacterial SSU rRNA". It matches the Rfam family "Bacterial small subunit ribosomal RNA", at positions 30 to 507 of the family's 1533-position model. The record is from RNAcentral.